AAAGUCGUAACAAGGUUUCCGUAGGUGAACCUGCGGAAGGAUCAUUACCAAGCAAGUUGUUGACCCGCAUCGUCGCGCCGCCACCUUGCACUGUGCCGUUGCCGGGACACCAUCGGUUGAGAUUGUAUCGUCUCUCACAGGCCAGCGAGGUCUGCCGUGGGUAACACCACCGGUUGAGUAGUGACGGUCUCUCUGAAACCCAGCGGGGUCUGCCACAGGUGGCCCGUUCAGGCUAGCAGGAGUGGAUGCUCUGGCGGUGUAGGCCGACACAACACGAACCCAUCUGUGUACCCUUCCCGUUGCUUCCGCGGUGACGUUUAGUCUCCGCGGAAGGUUCGCGUAUAAACCAUUGUGUAUCUCCAUGCCAUGAGUCUGAACAUCAAUCUGUUAAGAUUAAAACUUUCAACAACGGAUCUCUUGGUUCUC
This 426-nucleotide unclassified non-coding RNA is filed under the name Ascomycota sp. RNAcentral describes it as "partial contains small subunit ribosomal RNA, internal transcribed spacer 1, and 5.8S ribosomal RNA". The stretch from base 1 to 47 matches the Rfam family "Eukaryotic small subunit ribosomal RNA", at positions 1785 to 1831 of the family's 1831-position model. Lineage: Eukaryota; Fungi; Ascomycota. The record is from RNAcentral.